Molecule: RNA transcript, 2876 nt
Organism: Centrocercus urophasianus (Greater sage-grouse)
Lineage: Eukaryota; Metazoa; Chordata; Aves; Galliformes; Phasianidae
Gene: TRMT61A
Gene name: tRNA methyltransferase 61A
Exons: 10
Source: RefSeq, a predicted model, not a curated record
GGCGCGGGGCGGGCACCGCGUGUGAGGAGAGCCGUGCCGGGCCUGCUAGCGGUACUCGGCCGCGGGAGGAGACGACCACCAGCCAACUGCAAGACUGUUGCAAUGAGUUUUGUUGAAUAUGGCGAUACAAUCAAGGAUGGUGACACAGCUAUUGUGUUCUUGGGCCACGAAUCCAUGUUUCCUGUGAAAGUCCAGCAAGGCAGUGUAACUCAGACUAAAUAUGGGGUCAUCCGGCAUUCUACAGAUCUCAUAGGCAAGAAGUAUGGCUCCAAAGUGACCUGCAGUAAAGGAGGAUGGGUUUUUAUUCUUCAUCCAACUCCAGAACUGUGGACUGUGAAUCUUCCACACAGGACACAGAUCCUGUAUUCCACUGACAUCUCUGUAAUCACCAUGAUGUUAGAACUGAAGCCAGGCUCCAUAGUAUGCGAAUCAGGUACAGGCAGCGGAUCCCUGUCCCACGCUCUCAUCAGGACAGUGGCUCCCACGGGGCACCUGUACACAGUGGAGUUCCACCAACAGAGAGCUGAGAAGGCCAAGGAGGAAUUUCGGGAGCAUGGAGUAGAGCAUCUGGUCACGGUGACCAACCAGGAUGUCUGCAAGAAUGGAUUUGGUGUCUCAGACAUUGCAGACGCUGUGUUCCUGGAUAUUCCAUCUCCAUGGGAAGCCAUCGGACAUGCAAAGGCAGCGUUAAAAGCUGAAGGUGGCCGCAUCUGCUCUUUCUCCCCCUGCAUUGAACAAGUCCAGAGAACUUGCCUAGCAAUGGAAGAGUACGGUUUUACAGAGAUUAACACCUUGGAAAUUCUGCUCCGAGUAUACAAUAUCUUCCUGAGACAUAGCUUGUUCUCAAUCUACGUGUCAAGAACCUCAGGCACUUUUCUUUGCAGCACACAGUAAACCUCCAUUGUGGAGCUCCUAGAUCCAGCUGAAGUCUGAGAGAUGCUACCAUGGCCCUGGAUGGAAGGAAAUACAUUUCAGAUGACAAUAGCGAAGCCGGCUGAGAUGUUUGCAUUUGCUCUCUCAUUCUCAUGUGAUCAGCAACUGCUUCACCCUCCCAGUUUCCACCAGGAGAGGUAUACUAACAGCCCAUUACCAGUACCAGGAAAGAACGUGUCUUUCUGCAUAACCUCCAUUUGGAAGGGAUCCACAAGGAUCAUCGAGUCCAACUCCUGGCUCCACACUGCACGACUCAGAAUCUCACCAAAAUCUUCACAAAGCAAAAUGGCUUCACAACCACAAAGAACUUCAACCAUUGGGGAGUGACUUUCCACUGCUCUCGAGAAGAAAGUGGCAGGAGAUGUGGUCCUUAGGUGCACACACAGCCACACAUGUUGGAAGGAACACAGCUGCACACAAGACUUCAUUUGAAACAAUGCAUUAACCAAUGUACCUGCUGAAAGACACUGACUUUGUGUUGGAAGAGUUUGACUAGAUACACUGAAAACUGAUAACCUCCUGACAAACUGAAAAGGACUAUUUCAGAUUUGCUUUGGAUUGACAGAGUAGAGAUUUUCAAUAGAGCUGGGCCUGUCUGGGUGAAUCUUCUUCUUAGUCAAACAAAACAGAAGCUGAAAGGCAAUUCAACCACAGCCUGUAACCAAAUUCCAGACUACACACCAGGGGAGAAGAGAAGCUUCUCAUGAAUAUGUUUAUACUCAAAAUUAGAAGGUUACUUAAUCCCCAUGGCAUGAUGGUUUGGAGCAACUCUUUACUAGAAGACUGAGGAAACACCAUUUUCAGAUGAGGCUUGAUUAGCUGCAAGGCCUGUCUAUGGUUGUAAGAGAGCAAAUGAUGGGCUGCAUGGGCCCCCUUCAAAACACUGCCUUACUUGUCAUGGUGGGAACCCUUGGAUGCUGAGUGUUCUGGAAAACUCAAUUUCCGCUAGGUUUCUGAAAGUGACCCGAGGCUGCUCAUUUAGAUCAAUGCAAGGCUGAGCUUUUCAAACCUCCUUUCCCACUGGUAUUAACAUGAGGCACCUGGAAGGAAAGAAAUAGACUAUGGGUGAUCAAUAACUGGCUACAGAUUGGUCUGAAUAAAACAAUUUUAUGAAGACUUGUCAUUAGAAAAAGAUCAAUAUAAAAAUAAGAGUAGUGAUAUCUUACUCAGACUUGCUACCAGUCAUUAUACUAUCCCUUCCAAUUAAGAGUUUAUUGCAGGAGACUCUCCAUCUCAUACACUGUCUUCUGCCACUUACACUGACUCCAAGUGCAUGCUAAGGGUUGCCAUUGCCAGAAAUUUCACAGGGAGUGACAGUGAUGAUGGCAUCUGUAGGGAUGGGUGGCACCAUCUUGCCCAAGGCUAAGGCCCAUCAGCGAGUGGUUGGACCGUACCCUGGAGGAGCAUGUAGGGUGACUGUGGAAAACAAGGAUGAGCUGCAGGGUGUAGGCUAGGUCUAAUUGCAAGAAGGUGAAAGGGAACAGGAUGGGAUUUUAUUCUGCUUUCUUUUCUUGUGUCAUAAAACUAAAAGAUGUUGGAGAUGUUGGGCAAACCACUGCCUGACAACUUCAUUAAAAUUUUGUUUUGUUUUCCUUCAGUAUUUUGUCUCUCUCUGCCCCCUUUUUACAACUUAACUUGGCUUAUAAACAUCUUGGUUGUCAUGCUCACAGACUUGUUUUUGAGUAUUCACAAGCUCAUACAGUUUGGGAACUAAAGAAAACAGGAUCAUGAAGGACGCUGAACUGCAUCAGUGUGUUUCUCUCUCGUAAGAUGCUUUUGGUUACCUUCCUGAAAUACAGGUUUCACAAGGAACUCCUCUGGCGCAGAAGUUUGUCUGGCAAAACUAAUUGAUGUGAAAUGGUCCAAUUAGGAAACACGCUGCACUUUUCCACUUUUAAUGGGGAACUCUGCUAUGAUUUAUGUCCUGUAGGAAGAGUUUACAG